Molecule: long non-coding RNA, 414 nt
Organism: Actinia tenebrosa (Australian red waratah sea anemone)
Lineage: Eukaryota; Metazoa; Cnidaria; Anthozoa; Actiniaria; Actiniidae
Source: RefSeq, a predicted model, not a curated record
UGCCAUAAACUCUUCAAGUCGAAGGAUAACUUCAAUGCAUCAGUAAACAACUUCUGAUAGCCGCUACUAGUCUAGAAUCAAGUUCCUUAGGGACUGGUUGAAUGACCUGGUUCGCUUGUCCGCCAUGUUGAAGAGUACAACACUGUGACCUAAAAGAACUAAAUAACUCAAGAAAUUUGCUGUAUUUGAACACCUAAAUGCCUGGAAUACAAGAUGCAGGAGUGAAGAAAAGAUGAAGUAUUUGCGAUUAUCUGCCUUUUGCCGGACAAGGUUAAUGUUAAAACAUUUUUGACGUUUUCAAGAUGUUUACAAUUAGCUUAAGAAAUUUUGAAUUCUGAAGACCCAAAACAACUUUUUUAAAGAUUACAAGAUUGACAUCAACAUUUAUUGGGUUCCCUCCCCUUAAUGUUUUCA